UGGUCAGCGGUGCGACAGCCG
RNAcentral lists this unclassified non-coding RNA (21 nucleotides) under Chlamydomonas reinhardtii. Its description in RNAcentral is "small RNA Cre_3435". The record is from RNAcentral. Lineage: Eukaryota; Viridiplantae; Chlorophyta; Chlorophyceae; Chlamydomonadales; Chlamydomonadaceae.